Molecule: small RNA, 295 nt
Filed under: Callithrix jacchus (white-tufted-ear marmoset)
Lineage: Eukaryota; Metazoa; Chordata; Mammalia; Primates; Cebidae
Description: Metazoan signal recognition particle RNA (ENSCJAG00000085266.1)
Source: Rfam by way of RNAcentral
GCUGGGCAUGGUGGCACGUGCCUGUAAUCCCAGCUACUCGGGAGGCUGAGGCAGGAGAAUUGCCUGAACCCAGGAGGCGGAGGUUGCGGUGAGCCGAGAUCGCACCAUUGCACUCCAGCCUGGGUAACAAGAGCAAAACUGCGUCUCGGAAAAAGAAAAGCGUUUAGAGUAUGCCGAAUUUCUUUUUUCUUUUUUGAGAUAGAGUCGCACUCUGUCGCCAGGCUGGAGUGCAGUGGUGUGAUUUUGGCUCACUGCAGCCUCCGCCUCCCGGGUUCAAGUGAUUCUCUUGCCUCAG